RNAcentral lists this transfer RNA (74 nucleotides) under Candidatus Daviesbacteria bacterium RIFCSPHIGHO2_02_FULL_36_13. RNAcentral's name for it is "tRNA-Gln". It matches the Rfam family "tRNA". From Rfam's summary of the family: Transfer RNA (tRNA) molecules are approximately 80 nucleotides in length. Their secondary structure includes four short double-helical elements and three loops (D, anti-codon, and T loops). Further hydrogen bonds mediate the characteristic L-shaped molecular structure. tRNAs have two regions of fundamental functional importance: the anti-codon, which is responsible for specific mRNA codon recognition, and the 3' end, to which the tRNAs corresponding amino acid is attached (by aminoacyl-tRNA synthetases). tRNAs cope with the degeneracy of the genetic code in two manners: having more than one tRNA (with a specific anti-codon) for a particular amino acid; and 'wobble' base-pairing, i.e. permitting non-standard base-pairing at the 3rd anti-codon position. Lineage: Bacteria; Candidatus Daviesiibacteriota. The record is from RNAcentral.
UGCGGGUUCGUCUAAUGGUAGGACACGUCCCUCUGGAGGAUGGUAUUGGGGUUCAAGUCCCUGACCCGCAGCCG